Molecule: long non-coding RNA, 985 nt
Filed under: Olea europaea subsp. europaea
Lineage: Eukaryota; Viridiplantae; Streptophyta; Magnoliopsida; Lamiales; Oleaceae
Source: RNAcentral
CUCAAAUGUUGUUGUACGUAACCAGGGAUUAAUUCAUCCCAAUUGGUGUUUGCACAUGUAUUUUGAUGUACGAUAAUGGGUGAGGCUAAUUUUCGUGUCAAUUUCACUUGUUAUAUAUAUAAAUAAUAAAUUGCAUGAACUUAGAUCAAUCAAAUAAUUAAUUGCCCUAAUUAAUUUGCUCAUUUAGAUUAUAUUCGGGUGGAAUAAUGAUAAAGAAAGUGGAAGAGAGAAAAGAAUUUAGAAAAACAGGAUUCUUGAAAAAUGGAUUAAUUAUUGAUUCGAAGAGAGGAGUCGAACUAUAUGUGUGUGUGUGUGUGAUGGUUCGGGUAUUUUGGGACUACUUCGAACAGAUAAAGAUGAGUAAUGGAGAAGUUCAUUUGCAAUUGAUUUAUUUCACAUGCUACACAAUAUGGGGUUUAUUUAUAUAAUGGUUUGCAUAAUUGAUUAAUGUACUUGUUUCCCAUCUAAGGAUAUGAAAGGAAGAAAUGCUGAAAUUUGUCACAGCUGUAGAAGCGAUGGGCAUUCUUUUAGUGAAUGCCCGAGAAAACGUCAUUGCCCAGGGUAUGUACAUGGAUUUCAAAAAUGUUUCGAGGUUGAAAGACAGACGUGCAACAAAAGGCGAUUAUUCAACAAAUGCAGUCAUAAAUGUGGAUUUUUGAAUGGAUCGAACUAGGAGAGUCAAGCAAAGAAUAUAGUGCCAUUAACGAAGCGCUCAAUGUUGCGGCAAAUGAGGAAGUCGAAGAUUUGCCAAGAAUGUUCGAAACGCUUGGUCGAAUAUCCGACGAACGAGACUUAGAGAUUAACCUGAACAUUACUUUUCACAAGGGAAAAUGAAGUUCGGAAGGAAACGGAAAAGCAAAGAAGGCCACUUGAUUAGUUGUUUGUAUCGAACAUGUUAAUUGAAUAUUGUUUGUACUUUAACCCUCGAAUGACGUAACUAUAUAUGUUCCAUCGGAAAAUGGGUGUAAUGCAAUUUAGGUUUAUG